RNAcentral lists this ribosomal RNA (892 nucleotides) under Macrolepiota clelandii. Its description in RNAcentral is "partial large subunit ribosomal RNA". It matches the Rfam family "Eukaryotic large subunit ribosomal RNA", at positions 40 to 919 of the family's 3401-position model. Lineage: Eukaryota; Fungi; Basidiomycota; Agaricomycetes; Agaricales; Agaricaceae. The record is from RNAcentral.
AUAUCAAUAAGCGGAGGAAAAGAAACUAACAAGGAUUCCCCUAGUAACUGCGAGUGAAGCGGGAAGAGCUCAAAUUUAAAAUCUGGCGGUCUCUGGCCGUCCGAGUUGUAAUCUAGAGAAGUGCUGCCCGCGCUGGACCGUGUACAAGUCUCCUGGAAUGGAGCGUCAUAGAGGGUGAGAAUCCCGUCUCUGACACGGACUACCAGGGCUUUGUGGUACGCUCUCAAAGAGUCGAGUUGUUUGGGAAUGCAGCUCAAAAUGGGUGGUAAAUUCCAUCUAAAGCUAAAUAUUGGCGAGAGACCGAUAGCGAACAAGUACCGUGAGGGAAAGAUGAAAAGAACUUUGGAAAGAGAGUUAAACAGUACGUGAAAUUGCUGAAAGGGAAACGCUUGAAGUCAGUCGCGUUGGCCGGGGAUCAGCCUCGCUUUUGCGUGGUGUAUUUUCUGGUUGACGGGUCAGCAUCAAUUUUGACCGCUGGAAAAAGGCUUGGGGAAUGUGGCAGCUUCGGCUGUGUUAUAGCCCCUUGUCACAUACAGCGGUUGGGAUUGAGGAACUCAGCACGCCGCAAGGCCGGGUUUCGACCACGUUCGUGCUUAGGAUGCUGGCAUAAUGGCUUUAAGCGACCCGUCUUGAAACACGGACCAAGGAGUCUAACAUGCCUGCGAGUGUUUGGGUGGAAAACCCGAGCGCGUAAUGAAAGUGAAAGUUGAGAUCCCUGUCGUGGGGAGCAUCGACGCCCGGACCAGAACUUUUGGGACGGAUCCGCGGUAGAGCAUGUAUGUUGGGACCCGAAAGAUGGUGAACUAUGCCUGAAUAGGGUGAAGCCAGAGGAAACUCUGGUGGAGGCUCGUAGCGAUUCUGACGUGCAAAUCGAUCGUCAAAUUUGGGUAUA